Molecule: non-coding RNA, 48 nt
Filed under: Trichobilharzia regenti
Lineage: Eukaryota; Metazoa; Platyhelminthes; Trematoda; Strigeidida; Schistosomatidae
Source: RNAcentral
AUCCAGCUGACCAGUGCCAAAUAGGAUGAAAUGCGCGUUGUCCUGGAU